AUCUUCAGUCGCUACACCGUUGGGGAUCAGCUGGGGAAAGGUGGUUUUGGUGUGGUGUACGAAGGCAGACGUUUGAAUGAUGGUCUUAAAGUGGCUUUGAAGUAUGUAAUGAAGACCCAGCACACGGAAUGUAUAGUCAUUCCUGAUCAUCCAAAACCUCUUCCAAAAGAGAUCGCCCUCACCAUCCUGGCAAACAAAGGUCCCAGCGUGCCAGAAAUUAUCAGGCUGCUGGACUGGACGGACCACCCUGACCACUCGUCAUGGUCCUCGA
Long non-coding RNA from Cyprinus carpio (common carp), 271 nucleotides. RefSeq lists it as uncharacterized. NCBI's taxonomy places the organism in Eukaryota, Metazoa, Chordata, Actinopteri, Cypriniformes, Cyprinidae. The transcript is spliced from 3 exons. The record is from RefSeq and is a predicted model, not a curated record.